RNAcentral lists this ribosomal RNA (459 nucleotides) under uncultured bacterium. RNAcentral describes it as "bacterial SSU rRNA". It matches the Rfam family "Bacterial small subunit ribosomal RNA", at positions 30 to 506 of the family's 1533-position model. The record is from RNAcentral.
UGAACGCUGGCGGCGUGUCUAAGGCAUGCAAGUCGAACGAUUAUUGUUUCUUCGGAAGUAAUAAUAGUGGCAAACGGGUGAGUAGCACAUUGGUAACCUACCUCAAAGACGGGAAUAACCCCGCGAAAGCGGAGCUAAUACCCGAUGUGUUCGUUCCACAAAAGUGGGACGAGUAAAGCUUCGGCGCUUUGAGAGGGGCCUAUGCCUCAUCAGCUUGUUGGCAGUGUAAAAGACUACCAAGGCUAUGACGAGUAGCGGGUGUGAGAGCACGACCCGCCUCACUGGGACUGAGAUACUGCCCAGACUCCUACGGGAGGCUGCAGUCAAAAAUAUUCCUCAAUGCACGAAAGUGUGAAGGAGCGACGCCGCGUGAUUGAUGACGCCCUUCGGGGUGUAAAAAUCUUUUCUCUGGGAAGAACUAAUGACUGUACCAGAGGAAUAAGGGGCUGCUAACCUCGU